UACGUAGGUGGCAAGCGUUAUCCGGAAUUAUUGGGCGUAAAGGGCGCGUAGGCGGCUUGGCAAGUGGAUGGUGAAAUCCCUCGGCUUAACCGAGGAACUGCCGUCCAAACUGCUUCGCUUGAGACCGGGAGAGGUGAGUGGAAUUCCCAGUGUAGCGGUGAAAUGCGUAGAUAUUGGGAGGAACACCAGUGGCGAAGGCGGCUCACUGGACCGGUACUGACGCUGAUGCGCGAAAGCGUGGGGAGCAAACGGG
RNAcentral lists this ribosomal RNA (253 nucleotides) under uncultured bacterium. RNAcentral's name for it is "partial 16S ribosomal RNA". It matches the Rfam family "Bacterial small subunit ribosomal RNA", at positions 524 to 776 of the family's 1533-position model. The record is from RNAcentral.